RNAcentral lists this long non-coding RNA (1848 nucleotides) under Oncorhynchus kisutch (coho salmon). RNAcentral's name for it is "lncRNA (ENSOKIG00005016982.1)". Lineage: Eukaryota; Metazoa; Chordata; Actinopteri; Salmoniformes; Salmonidae. The record is from RNAcentral.
GAAUUUUCUUUACCGAAAACGUUCUUUGCUGUGUCAAGCCAAAACAGGGCGGACUAGUCUAUGACUAGCUAGGGUGUUAUGAUAACAUUCGUGGCACUUGUUGUUCGUAAUGAAGGCAUUUACAUGAAUUUGAAUAGUUGAUUGCUAUUUGGUAACUCAGAAGCUAUUUGAUAGCCUUACAUGUUGGCUACAGCGCUUGAGCGAAGGACGUAAUGUAUGCUUAGAAUGGCAGCAUCAUGCUAAACUUCAAGCCAACAUUGAUCUACUGAUGUGGAGGAGGCUCUGCACUCCAAUGGAGAGCUGAUCCCUUGUAAGAUCUAUGGAAGGACCUUCUACACUACAGUCCUGGGAAGACAAACACACAGAUUUGUGUACAGAUUCAUGUUGCUUUCUCUGGUGAGCCACAGCUGUCUCACUGAUAUACACAUCCCCCAGGCUUCAUAAUUACACCCUUCCCUCUGCAGCAGAGUAAAACAUUGAUUAUGUUUUGAUAUGCUUACCAAACACUGGUGAGGUUAAGUAGCCAUGUUUACAGUAGCUAAAAAAAAAGGGAAGGCGGUGAUGAAAUAAUGACCACUAUCUGUGUUCUGGUGCCAAUUUCCACAGCAGUUGUCAUCAGAUGGAGGACAGAGUCAGCAGCAGCUGCUAGUCAUUGUGUUGCUGUAUUGCUGACUGAGUUAAGAAGAAACAUACCCCCCCCCAUCUGUCAGAAAGUACCAGCUAAGAAGAGGAAGGUGGUUGACUUUGGCAAGCAGAAGGCUGAGGGAACAGAGAUCUACAUGACCAAACCCAGAGCCUUCCAAGAAGCUGUCCAACUGGCGUAGGAAACACGAGGACUUCAUCGCCACCUCAGAGCUACCAAGGGCCUCACUCAGGUUAUGAAGGAGGAGGGGGGGGUUACCCCCUCCUCCACCCUCCUCCUAUGUACCAGGUAACACCACCCUUAUCUCCACCUCCACCCCCCCUCCUAUGACCCAGUGAUUGUGUUGUUCCAGAUUAAUUCCAGUGACUGUGUGAUUGUAUUGUUCCAGAUUCCAUCCGGUGACUGUGUGAUCAAAUAAAAUUGUAGUUGUCACAUGCGUUGUAAAAAACAGGUGUACAUUUACAGUGAAAUGCUUACUUACAGGCCAUUCUCAACACUGCAAAGAGAGAAAAAAGAAAUAAUAGAAAAAUAAUAUCACAAGGAAUAAAUACGCAAUGAGUAACGAUAACUUGGUUAUACACACGGGGUAACAGUACCGAGUAAAUGUGCUGGGGUACGAGGUAAUUGAGGUAGAUAUGUACAGUGCCUUCUGAAAGUAUUCAGACCCCUUGACUUAUUCCACAUUUUGUUACGUUACAGCCUUAUUCUAAAAUGUUUUUUUUUAUCCUCAGCAAUCUACACACAAUACCCCAUAAUGACAAAGUGAAAACAGGUUUGUAAAAUUUUUUGAAAAUGUAUGUCACGAACCUCGCUGAAGAGGGUGCCUCUUCCUGUUCAGGUGGGGCUCGGCGGUCGUCGUCACCGGCCUAUUAGCUGCCAUCAAUUCUUUUUCCGUUUGUGUUUGUUAUUGGUUAAUUGGGUACACCUGUUUUGUAUUAGGGUUUGUUUGUAGGGUAUUUAAGGGCACUAGGCCUGCUGGGUAUUUUGUGCGGGCUUGUUAAUUGUUACUCUGUGUUUGAUGGUGUAUUUGCUUUUCGUGUUCUUUAUUUAUCCGGUCUAUUUUGUCCUGUUGUUUUUGGACUGGCAACUUAUACGCCUUGUGUGUUGGCGUCAUCAUUUUGGUUGCACCGGUGAAUAAAUUUUGAUAAACGACAGAACCCUGCUCUCUGCGCCUGAUUCCACCCACCACUCAUAGUUAAUCGUAA